Molecule: ribosomal RNA, 493 nt
Filed under: uncultured bacterium
Lineage: Bacteria
Description: partial 16S ribosomal RNA
Rfam family: Bacterial small subunit ribosomal RNA
Source: RNAcentral
AUUGAACGCUGGCGGCAUGCUUUACACAUGCAAGUCGAACGGUAACAGGUUAAGCUGACGAGUGGCGAACGGGUGAGUAAUGCAUCGGAACGUGCCCGGUCGUGGGGGAUAACGCAGCGAAAGCUGCGCUAAUACCGCAUACGAUCUGAGGAUGAAAGCGGGGGACCGUAAGGCCUCGCGCGAUCGGAGCGGCCGAUGUCAGAUUAGGUAGUUGGUGGGGUAAAGGCUCACCAAGCCGACGAUCUGUAGCUGGUCUGAGAGGACGACCAGCCACACUGGGACUGAGACACGGCCCAGACUCCUACGGGAGGCAGCAGUGGGGAAUUUUGGACAAUGGGCGCAAGCCUGAUCCAGCAAUGCCGCGUGCAGGAGGAAGGCCUUCGGGUUGUAAACUGCUUUUGUACGGAGCGAAAAGGCUCUCUCUAAUACAGGGGGUUCAUGACGGUACCGUAAGAAUAAGCACCGGCUAACUACGUGCCAGCAGCCGCCGUAA